Molecule: ribosomal RNA, 253 nt
Filed under: uncultured bacterium
Lineage: Bacteria
Description: partial 16S ribosomal RNA
Rfam family: Bacterial small subunit ribosomal RNA
Source: RNAcentral
UACAGAGGUCCCAAGCGUUGUUCGGAUUCACUGGGCGUAAAGGGUGCGUAGGUGGUGAGGUAAGUCGGAUGUGAAAGCUCCGAGCUCAACUCGGAAAUGGCAUUGGAAACUACCUUGCUCGAGGGUUUGAGGGGGGACUGGAAUACUUGGUGUAGCAGUGAAAUGCGUAGAUAUCAAGUAGAACACCAGUGGCGAAGGCGAGUCCCUGGAAAACUCCUGACACUGGGGCACGAAAGCUAGGGGAGCAAACAGG